Molecule: ribosomal RNA, 261 nt
Filed under: uncultured archaeon
Lineage: Archaea
Description: partial 16S ribosomal RNA
Rfam family: Archaeal small subunit ribosomal RNA
Source: RNAcentral
UAGCCGUAAACGAUACUCGCUGGGUGUCGGCCACGGUGCGACCGUUGUCGGUGCCGUAGGGAAGCCGUGAAGCGAGCCACCUGGGAAGUACGGCCGCAAGGCUGAAACUUAAAGGAAUUGGCGGGGGAGCACCACAACGGGUGGAGCUUGCGGUUUAAUUGGAUUCAACGCCGGAAAUCUUACCGGGACCGACAGCAACAUGAAGGCCAGGCUGAAGACUUUGCCGGAUUAGCUGAGAGGAGGUGCAUGGCGUAGACGUCU